Molecule: ribosomal RNA, 462 nt
Filed under: Xanthomonas citri pv. citri
Lineage: Bacteria; Pseudomonadati; Pseudomonadota; Gammaproteobacteria; Lysobacterales; Lysobacteraceae
Description: partial 23S ribosomal RNA
Rfam family: Bacterial large subunit ribosomal RNA
Source: RNAcentral
GUUAUAUGGUCAAGCGAAUAAGCGCACACGGUGGAUGCCUAGGCGGUCAGAGGCGAUGAAGGACGUGGUAGCCUGCGAAAAGUGUCGGGGAGCUGGCAACAAGCUUUGAUCCGGCAAUAUCCGAAUGGGGAAACCCACUGCUUCGGCAGUAUCCUGCAGUGAAUUCAUAGCUGCUGGAAGCGAACCCGGUGAACUGAAAUAUCUAAGUAACCGGAGGAAAAGAAAUCAACCGAGAUUCCCUAAGUAGUGACGAGCGAACGGGGAGCAGCCCUUAAGCUGGAAUGGCUUUAGAAAAACAAUCUGGAAAGAUUGGCCAUAGAAGGUGAUAGCCCUGUAUUUAAAAGGGCCACUCCAGUGAAGACGAGUAGGGCGGGGCACGUGAAACCCUGUCUGAAUAUGGGGGGACCAUCCUCCAAGGCUAAAUACUCCUGACCGACCGAUAGUGAACCAGUACCGUGAGGG